GGAUGGAUCAUUAAUAUAUAUGAGAAAAAUAGAAAAAUUUCCAUUUAUAUAAUAGAUUUUCAAUUAUAUAAAUUGAAAUUUUUUUUAAAAAAUCAAGUGGAAAAAAAGAAGAGUUUUUUUUUGAACUUUUUCUUUCUUUUUAUUUUCUUUUAAUUAGAAAACAAAUCAAUUGAUACCCAUUUUUAUAACUAUAAAACUUUUAAAAAAACCAAUAACAUUUCACAACGGAUGUCUUGGUUGGUGUAACGAUGAAGAACGUAGCGAAGUACGAUAGAUAGUAUGAAACGCAGAAAUCAUGAAUCAUCAAAAUUUUGAAUACAAGCUGUAUAUGUUGGAAUUUAUUUCAAUAUAUGUAAAAGUAUCAAUAAGAUUUUUAUUAUAAAUAAGAAUUGGUUUUCCAUUUGUUUAUUUAUUUAAAUGAAAGGGAAAUUGAUUUUUGAAUUGACGUUUUAAUCAUAUUCUUUUUUUUAAAAAGGAAAAUGGAUUACGUUUAAAUAGAAAAAAACCAUGAAAAAGCGAGAGACAAAUAGAAGGAUUAGAGAAGGAAGGGAUACAAUCGUAUCGAACGAAUGAUAUUCAUAUUCUUUUUUUUCUUUUCCUUUUUAUCUUUUAAAUCUUUUUCUUUUUUAAAUCUCAUCUUUUGAUACUUUUAAGAUUACUCCCUGAAUUGAAGCAUCUUAUUAAGGGAAGGAAAAGAAAAUAACAAUGAUUUCCUUAGUAAUAGCGAGUGAAGAGGAAAGAGAGCCAAAUUUGAAAUCGGCUCGCCUUGAGUGGCGGGCUGAGUUGUAGUUUGAGGACGUGUUGCCUCGGGAGGCGGCCAGACGGCCUAACUGACUUGGAAUAGUCGACCGCAGAGAGUGAAAGUCUCGUGAAGUCGUGCGGGCAGCGCCUCGACGGGUGGCACGUUUAAGAGUCACACUGAUUGGGAUUUCAGUGUCAAUUGUGGGGUACAAUGCCCAUAAGCCUAAAUAUAGACACCAAACCGAUAGCAAACAAGUAGAGUGAUCGAAAGAUGAAAAGAACCCAGAGAUGGGAUUGAAAAGUGCCUGAAAUUGUGAAGUGACAAAAUAUUAUUCAAAAGUGGUGUUUUGCUAUAGGCGUGUAUCAUUCAAGGAUGGCGACGUUGCGGAACGUUCUCAUGGGUGUACAGGCGGAUUCGUUCGCUCACCCGAGGGGACGGUUGAUCCGUGCGUUCCUCUUGUACUUGGUAUGCGUUCAAAGCUGAAUCAUCGGCUGGUUCAAAUUGACCAAGAAGCCGACGAGAAAGGUCCGUGCGCACGCAAGUGUGCUCGGUUAUAGACUCGUCGGGCAAACUGGGUUGAGACCGGUCGAGGAAGGAUAUGGAGAGGUUGCACGCUUGCGUGCGACGAAACGGACGAGUGGAAAGCCCGGUGGCGUACUCCAACGAACGGACGUUCUAUAACGUGCGGACGUUGCGCCUCUGGUUUGACACGCUCGCGUUUUCACUCUCCACAUGGGAUGAUUCGAUUCAUUUUUGACUAAACCUCGUCUUGAAACACGAGCCUAGGAGUUUGACAAUGGAACGAGUCUUUUGGUGGGCAAAACCAAGGGGCGAAAUGAAAGUGAUUGUUGAAGUAUGAUGGCGUGGCGUGCUUGCGCGCUGCGCCUGCAAUAUUGGCCGACCUUGAUAUACUUGGAUAGGUUUGAGUUGAAGUUCCAUUGCCAAGACCCGAAAGACGGCGAACUUUGCAUGUGCAAGCUGAGGCCAAAAGAAAUUUUGGUGGAGGGCUGAUGGGGUUCUGACGUGCAAAUCGAUCCUAUGACAUGUGUAAAGCGGCGAAAGACUAAUCGAGCCGUCUGGUAGCUGGUUUCGGC
RNAcentral lists this unclassified non-coding RNA (1836 nucleotides) under uncultured fungus. RNAcentral describes it as "sequence contains 18S rRNA gene, ITS1, 5.8S rRNA gene, ITS2, 28S rRNA gene". The stretch from base 636 to 1836 matches the Rfam family "Eukaryotic large subunit ribosomal RNA", at positions 1 to 961 of the family's 3401-position model. The record is from RNAcentral. Lineage: Eukaryota; Fungi.